UGGGGGGUGGUAUAGUGAUAGCCCUUGGUUCAGCGGGUAGACACAUGAUCCAAACACCCACAGCCAGCUAAAAGUUGUCAGGCUGAUGCAAUCAGAAUUUUGUUGAGGCUGGGCUUGGUGACUCACGCCUAUAAUCCCGGCACUUUGGGAGGCUGAGACGGGCGGAUCACCUGAGGUCAGGAGUUCGAGACCAGCCUGGCCGACGGCAAAACCCCGACACUACUUUGAACCUGGAACAGCAAACGUGAGCCAUCCUUCGGCAAGUCUGCCCGCACAAGCCUUCUCAGCAGCUCUCCUUUUUAGCCCGCAUGCCUGUGGCUGGGCUCUGCGGGCUUGGUCUGCAAAUGGAGAGCUGCCCGAAGAGUGCCCUUUCCAGAGAGAAGCCCUCACCCCUGCCCUCUGUGAUGUCUCAGAAGCCGCUACCUGAUAGCCACGGUUUCUGCAGUCAAAGCUGUGCUGGGAGGACAGAGGUGGGGCUCUGGAGCCAGACCCCAUGGGGCUGACUUCUGCUUCCACUUUAGUUGGCCCUUGAACAACAGGGGCUUGAACUGCAUGAGUCUACUUACAUGUGGAUUUUUUUCAACAAAUGUUACAAUAAGUUUGCCUGCCUCUCCUGUCUCCCCUUCCACUUCUGCUACCCCUGAAACAACAAGAUCAGCCCCUCUUCUUCCUCCACCUCCUCUUCCUCAGCCUACUCAAUAUGGAGGCAAGGAUGAAGACCUUUACAAUGAUCCACUUCAACUUAGUUAAGAGUAAGUGUAUUUUCUGUUAUUAUUUUCUUUCUUUCU
Long non-coding RNA from Rhinopithecus roxellana (golden snub-nosed monkey), 788 nucleotides. RefSeq lists it as uncharacterized. The transcript is spliced from 3 exons. NCBI's taxonomy places the organism in Eukaryota, Metazoa, Chordata, Mammalia, Primates, Cercopithecidae. The record is from RefSeq and is a predicted model, not a curated record.